GACCUGGUGGUGAAUGGUUCACACCCACCCUGCUUUCACAGUUGCACAUGUAAUAUGUACAUAAGGUGGGGAAACCCGGUUCGAUUCCGGGCCAGGUCA
Non-coding RNA from Mycena metata, 99 nucleotides. The record is from the annotation of a GenBank genome assembly. Lineage: Eukaryota; Fungi; Basidiomycota; Agaricomycetes; Agaricales; Mycenaceae.